Molecule: non-coding RNA, 23 nt
Filed under: Arabidopsis thaliana (thale cress)
Lineage: Eukaryota; Viridiplantae; Streptophyta; Magnoliopsida; Brassicales; Brassicaceae
Source: RNAcentral
UGCCAAUUCUAGCUAUGGUUGGG